AGGACGAACGCUGGCGGCGUGCCUAACACAUGCAAGUCGAACGAGGUCCAACCGGUGGCAACACUGGUGAAGACCGAGUGGCGAACGGGUGAGUAACACGUGAGCAACCUGCCUCGAAGACUGGGAUAACCCCGGGAAACCGGAGCUAAUACCGGAUACCCCCACCGGGUCGCAUGGCCUGGUGAGGAAAUGGAUUCCGCUUUGAGAGGGGCUCGCGGCCUAUCAGCUUGAUGGUGGGGUAAUGGCCUACCAUGGCACCGACGGGUAGCUGGUCUGAGAGGACGAUCAGCCACACUGGGACUGAGACACGGCCCAGACUCCUACGGGAGGCAGCAGUGGGGAAUCUUGCGCAAUGGGCGAAAGCCUGACGCAGCAACGCCGCGUGUGGGACGAAGGCCCUCUGGGUUGUAAACCACUUUCAGCAGGGACGAGUUGUGACGGUACCUGCAGAGAGCCCGGCACUACGUGCCAGCAGCCGCGGU
This 482-nucleotide ribosomal RNA is filed under the name uncultured bacterium. RNAcentral describes it as "SSU rRNA". It matches the Rfam family "Bacterial small subunit ribosomal RNA", at positions 26 to 521 of the family's 1533-position model. The record is from RNAcentral.